GAUGAACGCUGGCGGCGUGCCUAAUACAUGCAAGUCGAGCGAACAGACGAGGAGCUUGCUCCUCUGACGUUAGCGGCGGACGGGUGAGUAACACGUGGAUCACCUCCCUAUAAGACUGGGAUAACUUCGGGAAACCGGAGCUAAUACCGGAGAAUAUAUUGAACCGCAUGGUUCAUUAGAGAAAGACGGUUUUGCUGGCUCUUCUAGAUGGAUCCGCGCCGCAUUAGCUAGUUGGUAAGGUAACGGCCUACCAAGGCAACCAUGCGUAACCGACCUGAGAGGGGGAUAGGCCACCCGGGAACUGAGACAGGGUCCAGACUACUGAGGGAGGCAGCAGUAGGGAAUCUUAGGCAGUGGGCGAGAGCCUGACGGAGCAACGCCGAGUGAGUGAUGAAGGUCUUGGGAUCGUAAAGCUCUGUUAUUAGGGAAGAACAAAUGUGUAAGUAACUGUGCAGGUCUUGACGGUAACUGAUAAGAAAGCAACGGCUAACUACGUG
Molecule: ribosomal RNA, 497 nt
Filed under: uncultured bacterium
Lineage: Bacteria
Description: partial 16S ribosomal RNA
Rfam family: Bacterial small subunit ribosomal RNA
Source: RNAcentral